GACGAACGCUGGCGGCGUGCUUAACACAUGCAAGUCGAACGGAAAGGCCCUGCUUUUGUGGGGUGCUCGAGUGGCGAACGGGUGAGUAACACGUGAGUAACCUGCCCUUGACUUUGGGAUAACUUCAGGAAACUGGGGCUAAUACCGGAUAGGAGCUCCUGCUGCAUGGUGGGGGAUGGAAAGUUUCGGCGGUUGGGGAUGGACUCGCGGCUUAUCAGCUUGUUGGGGGGGUAGUGGCUUACAAAGGCUUCGAAGGGUAGCCGGCAUGAGAGGGUGACCGGCCACAAUGGUACUGAGAGAGGGACCAGACGCCAACGGGCGGCAGCGGGGGAGAAUAUUGCGCAACGGGCGGAAGCCUGAUGCAGCGACGCCGCGAUCGUGAUGACGGCUUACGGGGUGUAAACCGCUUUGGCCUGUGACGAAGCGUUAGUGACGGUAAUGGGUAAAGAAGCACCGGCUAACUACGUG
RNAcentral lists this ribosomal RNA (468 nucleotides) under uncultured bacterium. RNAcentral's name for it is "partial 16S ribosomal RNA". It matches the Rfam family "Bacterial small subunit ribosomal RNA", at positions 28 to 507 of the family's 1533-position model. The record is from RNAcentral.